GCCGCGUCUCCCGGCGGUGGGAGGGGGCGGCCCCCACUCGGUUCCUGGCCCCUCGCGGCCCCGUCAGCCUCCCGCUCGGGGUGCGCCGCCCUUCGUCUGGGUCUCCGCCCCCAGGACCCGCGGCCGAGAGCUCCGGAGCGCGGCUUCCCCGGCCGGCUGCGCGAUGGGCUGCGGGAACUCCACCGCCACCAGCGCGGGCGCGGGCCAAGAACAGAAGAAUCCAUAACAGAAGAUGACAAGAGGAGAAACUAUGGAGGAGUAUAUGUUGGCCUACCAUCUGAAGCUGUCAAUAUGGUGUCCAGUCAAACAAAGAUGGUUCGGAAAAAUUAGAAGAAAAUAACAUCAUGACUCAAGAAUCAAGAGCUUGCUCAUCAGUUUGGAAGGAAUUUGGCUCCGUGGGACAUUGUAAUGUGCACAGACAUUUCCAAGGAAAUUCUAAACAGUCACCCUUCCCUUUUGCAUUCCCCCAAAUCUUAAGUGUAUACAUAAAACCCUGGGUACAUAUUGUUGUGGUAAUAGAAGGGAAUUGGUUAAACAGUACACUUGUUUAUGGAACUUUCUGUGGCCACCUACGAAAGACAAGUUAACAAACUGUCAUGGAGGCUGUUGUUGCCCAGCCAGGGCCGCUGCAUUUUGACAACAUUUCCACCCUGGCCACUCAGCACAUUUCAUGGAGGUCAUGUCUUUUCACUGAUACUUUUUUGAUAGUUUUUAUAUAACAAAAUCCUUAUUCUAUUUAUAACUUAGGAUGAUAAGGCACUAUAAAU
This 767-nucleotide long non-coding RNA is filed under the name Pan troglodytes (chimpanzee). Its description in RNAcentral is "long non-coding RNA NONPTRT003638". Lineage: Eukaryota; Metazoa; Chordata; Mammalia; Primates; Hominidae. The record is from RNAcentral.